Molecule: long non-coding RNA, 566 nt
Organism: Carassius auratus (goldfish)
Lineage: Eukaryota; Metazoa; Chordata; Actinopteri; Cypriniformes; Cyprinidae
Exons: 3
Source: RefSeq, a predicted model, not a curated record
UAUCAAAGAUGGCGACCUCAGUAGGCUCUAGUUUACCUGCCAAAUCUUGAUUAAUGGAAAGCAGGAGUUUGAGGUACAGCAACUGGACCACAAAGCGGACGGGAACUGCUCCAGUGGAAGAUUGGAUCUAAAACCUUCGAAUGACACACUGUUUAUAUAAUAAGUGUGCUGCUCACAUACUUGUCUUCAGAUGGGAAAGACGACAGGCCUUUACAGAUAUGAGUGCAAAAGAACCUGUUGGAAAAGGAGCCCAUGCAAAUAAGCAGCCCACUCAGGAACCUGGAACACAUCUAAGCCCAAACGAGGCACACACUCCCAUGAGUCUCCUCAAAUCUUUUCUUUUCUUUUUUGAUGUCCUUCAGAGCACAUAAACAAAAUAUGAACACUUUGGAAAUUCCUGGUAUGUAUUGUUCAUUUAUAUACACAAUACCAGUCAAAAUCUUUCGAAAAGUACGAUUUUUCAUGUUUUUGUAAAGAAUUAUCUUCUGCUCACCAAGCCUGCAUUUAUUUGAUCUGAAAUACAUAAAGUUGCAUUUGCAAAAGCAUUAAUAUUAUGAAAUAUUUUU